This is a long non-coding RNA of Macrobrachium nipponense, 765 nucleotides long. RefSeq lists it as uncharacterized. The transcript is spliced from 2 exons. Lineage: Eukaryota; Metazoa; Arthropoda; Malacostraca; Decapoda; Palaemonidae. The record is from RefSeq and is a predicted model, not a curated record.
GUCUGGCAUUAAAUGUCUCGGCUAUGACGGUGCAAAGACGUCUGCAUGAGGCAGGAAUACCUCAUAGAAUUCCUGCCAAGAAGGAAUUUCUCGCCGAACGGCAUCGUGCUGAUAGUCUUGCCUUUGUUCAACAGUUUGUGGGGGAGGAUAUGGAAUUAUGGUCUUGAGUCGUAUGCAGUGACGAAAGGUCUUUUACUAGCAGAAGUCACGGCAGGAUACAUAAGUGAAGACCGAGUAAUAUAAGAUACUACAGAAGAAACAUUUACGAGGUGACCAGGAAUGGGCAUGUCACAGUAAGCGUGUGGGGCUGGAUCUUCUUACAUUGUAUGGAUGAUAUCACCAGGAUUAAGUGGAGGUUCACUGGGGAAAAAUACAUUGAAAUUCUUCAGGAUUUCUAACUUCUUUCACUUCAACAGCGGAAUUAUUCCUCCCCACCUGCUCCUGUCAUUUUCAUUCACGACCGCUGCCCCAUCCAUACGGCCAGAAUAGUCCAGGAAUCUGUUUCAAGGUCGAGAGGAUCUGCAAUUGCUUGACUGGCCAAGUAAGGAUACAGACAUGAACCUCAUGAGAAUAUUUAGGCUAAUUUGGUAAAAUGUUGGAAGCCUGAGAGGGAGAGGACCACUGGGACGCAAUGGAAGGUCUUCCACAACCAACCACAGAUCGUCAGAAACCAUGAAUCUUCUAUGCCUAACAGAUUGCAAGAGGUGAUCUAAAAGGAAGGUGGCUGGACUUCUCACUAAUAUCAAAAAUAAAUGUAAAAAUUGA